Molecule: non-coding RNA, 2027 nt
Organism: Rattus norvegicus (Norway rat)
Lineage: Eukaryota; Metazoa; Chordata; Mammalia; Rodentia; Muridae
Source: RefSeq, a predicted model, not a curated record
ACCGCCAUGGAAGGAGAAGCUCACAGGGUCAAACAGGCUCCCCCAGGGUGAGCUGGGAUGAUGAUGAACUGGGAAUUAACCAAAGGACAAUCAGAGUCCUGGUACACGAAAUCCUGCCCUCAGGCAGAUAGUAAGGGAGACAAGGGCCCAACUCUGGAGGGACUCAAUUUUCCCACCAGCUUAUUGGGUACACACUUGACAGCCCAUUACCUCAUUACUGGGGACGCUUCCUCCUUCUCUUGGUGAUAACAUUUCCCAUCCACAGCCCCCAUAACUGACACAGUCACAUGACUGCACACAGAGCAGUCCCACGGGAAGCAGAGUUCUGCACUCAAACCAUCCACAGUGCACUCACAUAGGGAAUUCACAGGCGCGAGGGUAACGCUUGCUCUCUCUUCCCCACAGACAGCCUAUGGUUCUCUCAGCUCUCAGGGAUUAUACCAUGGAGCUCAGUCCCUCACAGACACACAGAGGAGAGCCCUGUGCACACAGCUCUGUUCACCUUCAGGCCGGCAUCCUCCCAGUCCCUCCCUCCCAGGACGCCAGGUCCAAUCCUUGUGUGAGGAGAUACUCUGACCGUCCCUGGCAGCUACACUGCCUGCCCACCACCUCUGCUGGUGGGGUGUAGGCUCCAAAGCUUCACAGACCCAGAACCUCUGUAGUCUUGAUAAACCCCAGACACAGGUUACUCUCUAGGGAACUCAUUUGGGCUGCAGCUGUAUUCAUGGAACACACAUCGUAUCAGCAGCUCAUGCCUCCCUGGAGCUGAACUGACAGAUCUGUAUGGUGGGGCUGUGGCUGUUCCUUAACAGGUAGGUACCCUGGAGCCCUGGCCACUGUGCUCAGACUCGGGUCACUGCUCCUCUUCUCAGCAGUCUUUCAGCCUGGAAGAGUUUGGCCUUGAGUUAAUGGGUCCAGUGCUCUCAGCCCAAAGCCUGAGGGGUGGGAAGAAAAACCAAGCCAGUUGGAGCCUGGGUUCCAGAAAACACGUCCCCAUAACUGAUCUGAAGAAGGGAAGUGCAAGCCAGUCCACCGCCCUGGAAGUCUGUCCACUGCCGGUUGCCCCACCUCAAGGCUCCAGUGUGGUUUUUGAAGGUUUAGCUUAUCAUGCUUGGCCUGACAUCCCUCCCCUCUCCCUGCCUCAUUCAGGCGCUCGCCACAUAAGACCCGUUCUUCAGGUCUUUCAAGGAUUGAGAAGCCAACGGUCAGUCUGUGACGGGGAGGACAAAGCUGGAAGCUCAGAAGGUGGGAGCAGGAAGAGCUUUCUCUUGUCUGCUGCAGCAUAAGUGCAGUUAUGUGAUUCCCUCCUCUCAGUGACGGCUUUUCCUAGGUUUGCUGUAGUGGUAACCAACAUGGCUCCCGGCUCCGGGCUUCCAUCCAAAGCUAAGAAAGGGUAUGCUGUAAGCCGACACCUUUGGUCCUAAGCUCUGAAAAUGACCUCCAGAGCCACCUGUGGGGCCAACUUUAGAGCUGACCAGUCCCAAUGCUGUGUCUGGAGCUAGAGUAGGUGAGGGGCACAGCUCUCCCAGAGUUAAUACGAUCAUUCUCACCAAAGGACUGGAUGGACCCAGAACAGCCAGAACAAGGCCCCAGAAGUUCUGAGGGCAUGAGACCUCUUCCCAUGGAGCCAUCUCGCCAGCACAAAGAAUCUGACUGUUUACACGACUCCGUGCUGGCACUCGUGGGGGUCAAGGAGCUCCCCCAGCCUUUGGAGUUCAGAGCUGAGGUGGAACACAGUGUUGUUGGAAGAAGGCUAAAAGACUGAUGAUCUCUGGCUUUGUAAUCCUAACCGUACUUGGGGCUAGAAGCUAAUGGUUUCUGUAAUCUUAACACUCUCUUGCUUAUUCUGUGGCUGAAAACCACCCGCUUUUUUUCUCUUCAUAUUUGUGCUUUAAUAAGCGCUGGGGGAAACUUUGUGCUUAAAUGAGUGCAGAAACUCAACUUGUUAUUACUAAUCCUAUGCUUUAAUAAGCACUGAGAAAUGAGCUCUUCAUUACUGUCCUGUGCUUAAAUAAGUGCUGAAAACU